Pseudophryne corroboree (corroboree frog) is the source of this 671-nucleotide long non-coding RNA. RefSeq lists it as uncharacterized. Lineage: Eukaryota; Metazoa; Chordata; Amphibia; Anura; Myobatrachidae. The record is from RefSeq and is a predicted model, not a curated record. The transcript is spliced from 3 exons.
CAAUACGUACAAGAUGGUUACAGUACACUAAUGCUUUGCAGUUAGCAUUUUUUUACAAAGUAUGGUCAUAAUGUUUUUUCAACUUUUUCAACAGUCCGACAGACCAGCCGGCCAGACAGGCCACAGACAACUCAGGAUGAUGCUGGGAUUGCAGGUUCUGCUUCUGUAAGCCGCCCUCCUCUAAGGCGCCCAUCACAGGGCUCGGGGCACUUACCCAGGAGGCCAAGUAAGACACGGCGUCUUGUCUCUGAAUCUGCGGCUCCAUCUUCCCCACCCAGGCGGCGCAUUUCUGCAGUCUCACCCCAGCCACCACAGGCACUAUUGGCGAGUCCACAGAGUGAUGAGCCCAGAUCACCUCAGUUAUCUGAGCCAAGCUUGAUGCCCGACGUGGACCAGCAGGGACAAGACCAACAGGCAACAUUCACACUGCAACUAACACCUGUUGACCCGAGCCAGCCAAUACAGCCGCAGGAUAUCCCCCAAGCCUCCAUGAGUCCACAACUGGUCCAAGCUCCACCCCAGCCACAAAUUCCAGAUGACUUUUGGUCCAGUUGGACAAGCCAACAGACCCAAAGCAAUGCCAGCCUGACCGCACAUACCCAACACCUUGCCAGUCUGCCCCAUCAUCUACCGCGCAUUAGUCGCAACUCGGGCAGACUGAUUGUCCAAGU